AUCCUAUUCAGUUUGUCACUAUUUCCACUAAAUAUACUUCUUGUUAUUGUUAUAAGGAAUUAAGUAAUAUCACUCUGGCUCUUUAAGAGCAGAAGUCUUCUCAAUAAAACUCUGUCUUUAUAGGAGAAAACCACAAAAGAGAGGAAGAGAGUGAAUUCUGGUUACUCUGACAGUUGGCUUCUGGCAGUUUUGAAUUACAGUUAAGGAGGUUGAAAGAAGAAAGACUUAAUAAUUUAGCUUAGGAAGGUUAGAUAGAAUUUUAAUCUUAGUUUAGUGAGUGUAGGUUUGGUGAAGUCUUCACCGGCAGAAUCAAUGAGAAUAAAUAAUCAAUAAAGGAGAAGAAUGAAGAGGGCUAGGCAAUGGAGGUUAAAUGACUUGCCCAGGAUGGCACAACCUCAUCUCCAGUACCAUUCCUCUGGAAUGCUGAAAGAAUGGAAGACGAUUUUACCCUUCCCUACAAGCAUAACUGCAACUGGUUGCAGAAACCAGUGGCUGAAUAGGACAUGGGCUUGUCCACAGAAUCUGAAAGGAAAAUACCUAAAAGUGGACUUUGCCCAAGAGAUUAUAGCAAGUGAGGUCCUGAGAGUUCCCGAAGAUCCACACAACACAAGAAGCAAAUGUGUUUGCCUACAUGGACUCAAAAGGGAAUUCUUAGAUAAUAUUCCUGGAUUCUUAACCUCUUGGGCAAUAGCAGAGGAGUAGUUUAGUUUCCAAGACAGCAUGAUUCCAGCUUCUGACUAACCUAAAGCAUCACAAGUCCCCUAACCUAUAUCCUGAAUCUGUCACCUGUGGAUUUAUCUGGAACAUUUGAGGGAGUUAUUUGUAUUUUUUGCUUGGGCCAUCUCUGGUGGUAAUAAACUUCCUAAGUUUACUACCCA
RNAcentral lists this long non-coding RNA (878 nucleotides) under Monodelphis domestica (gray short-tailed opossum). RNAcentral's name for it is "lncRNA (ENSMODG00000035693.2)". The record is from RNAcentral. Lineage: Eukaryota; Metazoa; Chordata; Mammalia; Didelphimorphia; Didelphidae.